CCUACGGGUGACAGCAGUGGGGAAUAUUGCACAAUGGGGGAAACCCUGAUGCAGCGACGCCGCGUGAGUGAAGACGUAUUUCGGUAUGUAAAGCUCUAUCAGCAGGGAAGAAAAUGACGGUACCUGAUUAAGCAGCCCCGGCUAACUACGUGCCAGCAGCCGCGGUAAUACGUAGGGGGCCAGCGUUAUCCGGAUUUACUGGGUGUAAAGGGAGCGUAGACGGCAGCACAAGUCUGGAGUGAAAUGCACGGGCUUAACCCCGGAACUGCAGUGGAAACUGGGUAGCUUGAGUGCAGGAGAGGUAGGUGGAAUUCCGAGUGUAGCGGUGAAAUGCGUAGAUAUUAGGAGGAACACCAGUGGCGAAGGCGGCUUACUGGACUUUAACUGACGUUGAGGCUCGAAAGCGUGGGGAGCAAACAGGAUUAGAUACCCGGGUAGUC
RNAcentral lists this ribosomal RNA (440 nucleotides) under uncultured bacterium. Its description in RNAcentral is "partial 16S ribosomal RNA". It matches the Rfam family "Bacterial small subunit ribosomal RNA", at positions 338 to 795 of the family's 1533-position model. The record is from RNAcentral.